UCCCUGGUGGUCCAGUGAUUAAAAACUCUGCACUUCUACCGCAGGGGGCUUGGGUUUGAUUCCUGCUCAGGGAA
RNAcentral lists this transfer RNA (74 nucleotides) under Ovis aries (sheep). It matches the Rfam family "tRNA". From Rfam's summary of the family: Transfer RNA (tRNA) molecules are approximately 80 nucleotides in length. Their secondary structure includes four short double-helical elements and three loops (D, anti-codon, and T loops). Further hydrogen bonds mediate the characteristic L-shaped molecular structure. tRNAs have two regions of fundamental functional importance: the anti-codon, which is responsible for specific mRNA codon recognition, and the 3' end, to which the tRNAs corresponding amino acid is attached (by aminoacyl-tRNA synthetases). tRNAs cope with the degeneracy of the genetic code in two manners: having more than one tRNA (with a specific anti-codon) for a particular amino acid; and 'wobble' base-pairing, i.e. permitting non-standard base-pairing at the 3rd anti-codon position. Lineage: Eukaryota; Metazoa; Chordata; Mammalia; Artiodactyla; Bovidae. The record is from Rfam by way of RNAcentral.